This 662-nucleotide small RNA is filed under the name Pongo abelii (Sumatran orangutan). RNAcentral describes it as "processed transcript". Lineage: Eukaryota; Metazoa; Chordata; Mammalia; Primates; Hominidae. The record is from RNAcentral.
GGUCCCUCCUGAGGCGGCCCCCGGAUGAAGAGAUCUGGGAACCCGGGAGCCGAGGCAACGAGCAGCUCGGUGGCGGGGCCUGACUGCUGCGGAGGCCUCGGCAAUAUUGAUUUUAGACAGGCAGACUUCUGCGUUAUGACCCGGCUGCUGGGCUACGUGGACCCCCUGGAUCCCAGCUUCGUGGCUGCCGUCAUCACCAUCGCCUUCAAUCCGCUCUACUGGAAUGUGGUUGCACGGUGGGAACACAAGACCCGCAAGCUGAGCAGGGCCUUCGGAUCCCCCUACCUGGCCUGCUACUCCCUGAGCGUCACCAUCCUGCUCCUGAACUUCCUGCGCUCGCACUGCUUCACGCAGGCCAUGCUGAGCCAGCCCAGGAUGGAAAGCCUGGACACCCCUGCGGCCUACAGCCUGGGACUCGCGCUCCUGGGACUGGGCGUCGUGCUUGUGCUCUCCAGCUUCUUUGCACUGGGGUUCACUGGAACUUUCCUAGGUGAUUACUUCGGGAUCCUCAAGGAGGCAAGAGUGACCAUGUUCCCCUUCAACAUCCUGGACAACCCCAUGUACUGGGGAAGCACAGCCAACUACCUGGGCUGGGCUAUCAUCCUCUGCCCAUGUGGCAGAUACCCCUUCCCACAGAGGGGGCCCCAUGCCAUAAGGGAAGC